Molecule: long non-coding RNA, 1078 nt
Organism: Anthonomus grandis grandis
Lineage: Eukaryota; Metazoa; Arthropoda; Insecta; Coleoptera; Curculionidae
Exons: 6
Source: RefSeq, a predicted model, not a curated record
ACAAAACUCAUACACUCCGAUUUGCAUAAAAGUAAGAGGGCACUAAAUAACGAACAUUCUUGAAAAAAUCGGGAUUUUGACCAAACUUAAUUUUUUCUAGAGGUUAUGAAGGGGUGGCAACUAUCUAAACUUAUGUUAGUGUAUACUCAAAAGUAUCCUUAAUAUCACUAUUAAAACAAAACUCAUGCACUCCGAUUUGCAUAAAAGUAAGAGGGCACUAAAUAACGAACAUUCUUGAAAAAAUCGGGAUUUUGACCAAAUUUCAUUUUUUUUAGAGGUUAUGAAGGGGUGGCAACUAUCUAAACUUAUGUUAGUGUAUACUCAAAAGUAUCCUUAAUAUCACUAUUAAAACAAAACUCAUGCACUCCGAUUUGCAUAAAAGUAAGAGGGCACUAAAUAACGAACAUUCUUGAAAAAAUCGGGAUUUUGACCAAAUUUCAUUUUUUUUAGAGGUUAUGAAGGGGUGGCAACUAUCUAAACUUAUGUUAGUGUAUACUCAAAAGUAUCCUUAAUAUCACUAUUAAAACAAAACUCAUGCACUCCGAUUUGCAUAAAAGUAAGAGGGCACUAAAUAACGAACAUUCUUGAAAAAAUCGGGAUUUUGACCAAAUUUCAUUUUUUUUAGAGGUUAUGAAGGGGUGGCAACUAUCUAAACUUAUGUUAGUGUAUACUCAAAAGUAUCCUUAAUAUCACUAUUAAAACAAAACUCAUGCACUCCGAUUUGCAUAAAAGUAAGAGGGCACUAAAUAACGAACAUUCUUGAAAAAAUCGGGAUUUUGACCAAAUUUCAUUUUUUUUAGAGGUUAUGAAGGGGUGGCAACUAUCUAAACUUAUGUUAGUGUAUACUCAAAAGUAUCCUUAAUAUCACUAUUAAAACAAAACUCAUGCACUCCGAUUUGCAUAAAAGUAAGAGGGCACUAAAUAACGAACAUUCUUGAAAAAAUCGGGAUUUUGACCAAAUUUCAUUUUUUUUAGAGGUUAUGAAGGGGUGGCAACUAUCUAAACUUAUGUUAGUGUAUACUCAAAAGUAUCCUUAAUAUCACUAUUAAAACAAAACUCAUGCACUCCGAUUUGCAUA